This is a non-coding RNA of Microcebus murinus (gray mouse lemur), 307 nucleotides long. NCBI's taxonomy places the organism in Eukaryota, Metazoa, Chordata, Mammalia, Primates, Cheirogaleidae. The record is from RefSeq and is a predicted model, not a curated record.
UACUGCCUCAGCUUCCUUGGUAGCUAGGACUACAGGUUAAUUUUGGAGAUUAUGUACUUUGAUCCCCAGCAACACAAGAUUUGAAGAGGAAGAAGGUGUUAUUAAAACCUUGGCGUGUUAGUGAAUGCUGCAUCUUGGGUAAGUCACUUCUCCUCUGCUGUACACUCUUGUGAUAUAAAGUGGAGGAAAAUGCCACUCUGGAAUAUUAUGGAACCAUGUAAAGAAAUGAGCUCACUACCACCCCUAACUACUUUAACAGGCAUGGCAUAAUGCAGGCAUUAAAGACUUCUACAUUGUAGAAAUUCAA